AUUUCUGUCUUUGAAGGGUUGGAUGCCCCGUUCCUGCCGCUCAAACAGUCAGACAUGUGUCUGGUUUGCAUUGCGUUUGCCUCGUGGGUGCUGAAGACUGCAAAUCCACAAGUCGGAGAUGCUUGGAAGGCUGUUCUGCUGGCCAAUGUAAGUGCCCUGUCAGCCAUUCGAUACCUGCGUAAGUACGUCAAAGCGGAGGCGGCCGGCUGUGAAACGAAACUGCACCGCAGGGCGCUGCCUGCUCCUUCACCUCUCGGCCUCUAAAUAUGUCGAGGCUGAAGUGAUCCAUCUUUUCCAGAAAGUCUGCGGCGGAUUGUUGAAACACGUUUGCACUGUGAUUACUGAUCUUACGUCUCACUGAGCUUUCCAGAGAAAGUGUUUAUUUUAAGAGCAGUUAUUUAACUUGAGUGAAACUUUAACAUCCGAAAGUGUUCAGAAAAAAAAAUGAAACGACCAAAGGCAAGAUGAGGCAAGCUCAUCUGACUGAAAGAAGGCUUUAGAAAAAUCAGAUGCAUAAGUAUGUGUGAAACAAGCUUGGAGGUGAUGAGUGAUAAGUGGAUUAGUGUGAGAGACUGUAGAGAUUCAGGAGAAAUUUACACAAACCUGUUUCCAUUACAUGACUUUUGGUGGCAGAUGCUUCUAUUUAAAUCAACCAAACUUUUAAAAUAUUCUUACUCACAGUUAUUGUAUUUUACAGAUUUGCCACUGUAACCGCUCCCAUUCAGAAGCAUAAUUUAUUUAAGGGGGACAGCAUUCUGUGCCAGUAUCAGUUAUAUGUAUAUUAUAUAUUAUGUGAAUGGUAUUUUAUGUUAAUUACAGAGAUCUGUAUACUGUUGUCAUAUGUUGCACUGAGCUGUGGAUGUUGAUGAUAAUGGCAGUGAUGCCUUUCAGUUGAACUAAAGUAAACAGUGUAGGUUGUG
This is a long non-coding RNA of Pundamilia nyererei, 920 nucleotides long. RefSeq lists it as uncharacterized. The transcript has 2 exons. The record is from RefSeq and is a predicted model, not a curated record. NCBI's taxonomy places the organism in Eukaryota, Metazoa, Chordata, Actinopteri, Cichliformes, Cichlidae.